This 548-nucleotide ribosomal RNA is filed under the name uncultured bacterium. Its description in RNAcentral is "partial 16S ribosomal RNA". It matches the Rfam family "Bacterial small subunit ribosomal RNA", at positions 355 to 895 of the family's 1533-position model. The record is from RNAcentral.
UGGGGAAUUUUGGACAAUGGGCGCAAGCCUGAUCCAGCAAUGCCGCAUGCAGGAUGAAGGCCUUCGGGUUGUAAACUGCUUUUGUACGGAACGAAAAGCCUCUCUCUAAUACAGGGGGGUGAUGACGGUACCGUAAGAAUAAGCACCGGCUAACUACGUGCCAGCAGCCGCGGUAAUACGUAGGGUGCAAGCGUUAAUCGGAAUUACUGGGCGUAAAGCGUGCAGCAGGCGUUUUGUAAGACAGUGGUGAAAUCCCCGGGCUCAACCUGGGAACUGCCAUUGUGACUGCAAGGCUGGAGUGCGGCAGAGGGGGGAUGGAAUUCCGCGUGUAGCAGUGAAAUGCGUAGAUAUGCGGAGGAACACCGAUGGCGAAGGCAAUCCCCUGGGCCUGCACUGACGCUCAUGCACGAAAGCGUGGGGAGCAAACAGGAUUAGAUCCCUGGUAGUCCACGCCCUAAACGAUGUCAACUGGUUGUUGGGGAUUUAUUUCUUCAGUAACGAAGCUAACGCGUGAAGUUGACCGCCUGGGGGAGUACGGCCGCAAGGUU